This 424-nucleotide long non-coding RNA is filed under the name Panax ginseng (ginseng). Its description in RNAcentral is "long non-coding RNA (PGIN_LNC009819)". Lineage: Eukaryota; Viridiplantae; Streptophyta; Magnoliopsida; Apiales; Araliaceae. The record is from RNAcentral.
GCCAUGCCAUAUUGCCAUGUGGCAGUAAUUAGAGAUUGAUGUAUGCAUGCAGAAAAAUAAUUGGGACGCACGGAAUGAGACCCGACUAUAUAUAUAGGUGAAAUGACCAAACGUUUUCUCAUCAAAAAGCAGACAUUGUUUUAUAAUACUAGCUAGCUAUCUACAUAACUAAUAUUAAUGGGUUUAACUGGUAAGUUGAUAUGCCAAACAGGAAUCAACUCAGAUGGAGAUGUGUUUCAUGAACUAUAUUCCAUCGGUAAGAAAAAGAAAAAAAAUAUAGUACAAUAUUUACUCUUAAUUUCCUUGCUACUAGUAUCUAAGUAUGUCAAAUAUUGUAAGAUUUAAUUAAUAUUUUCGGGAGAAAAAAAGUUAAUAAAAUAUAGGACUCUUAUUUUCGGAUGGAAAGGAGACGAUUGCAAAGGAC